AGUGAACGCUGGCGGUAGGCCUAACACAUGCAAGUCGAACGGCAGCACAGUAAGAGCUUGCUCUUACGGGUGGCGAGUGGCGGACGGGUGAGGAAUACAUCGGAAUCUACUUUUUCGUGGGGGAUAACGUAGGGAAACUUACGCUAAUACCGCAUACGACCUACGGGUGAAAGCAGGGGAUCUUCGGACCUUGCGCGAUUGAAUGAGCCGAUGUCGGAUUAGCUAGUUGGCGGGGUAAAGGCCCACCAAGGCGACGAUCCGUAGCUGGUCUGAGAGGAUGAUCAGCCACACUGGAACUGAGCAACGGUCCAGACUCCUACGGGAGGCAGCAGUGGGGAAUAUUGGACAAUGGGCGCAAGCCUGAUCCAGCCAUACCGCGUGGGUGAAGAAGGCCUUCGGGUUGUAAAGCCCUUUUGUUGGGAAAGAAAAGCAGCAGGUUAAUACCCAGCUGUUCUGACGGUACCCAAAGAAUAAGCACCGGCUAACUUCGUG
RNAcentral lists this ribosomal RNA (492 nucleotides) under uncultured bacterium. RNAcentral's name for it is "partial 16S ribosomal RNA". It matches the Rfam family "Bacterial small subunit ribosomal RNA", at positions 29 to 507 of the family's 1533-position model. The record is from RNAcentral.